UACGGCCCUAUCUCGUUCAAACACCGGUUCGCGUACGAUCACCAAAGUUAAGCAACGUUGAGCCUGGUCAGUACCUAGUUGGUGACCGCUUGGGAAUACCAGGUGCUGUAAG
Acanthosepion pharaonis is the source of this 112-nucleotide non-coding RNA. The record is from the annotation of a GenBank genome assembly. NCBI's taxonomy places the organism in Eukaryota, Metazoa, Mollusca, Cephalopoda, Sepiida, Sepiidae.